Molecule: long non-coding RNA, 298 nt
Organism: Caretta caretta (loggerhead turtle)
Lineage: Eukaryota; Metazoa; Chordata; Testudines; Cheloniidae
Source: RefSeq, a predicted model, not a curated record
GAGGGCGAGAGGGGUUGGAUUUUGCCACGCGCAGGAGGAACCUGAGCGCCUUCUCUCGGACGCAGCACCCACGGCUCUGCCUCAGCGCAACUCCCCGCUCACACCCUGCGGCCAGAUUCAAAGUCAGAAGGUUGAAACAUUGGAUAUUUACAGAUGUUCAGAACUUCCCAUGAUUAGGAAUUGAUCCACUAAAGAAGACUCAAGAUAUACAGCAUAGUUUGCACUGUAUCAAACUACCUCAAGGAUAAGAACAGACCACCUAAUGAGUGGAGCUGAAAGCACAGUGAAGCAAUUGUAA